GACGAACGCUGGCGGCGUGCUUAACACAUGCAAGUCGAACGGAAAGGCCCUGCUUUUGUGGGGUGCUCGAGUGGCGAACGGGUGAGUAACACGUGAGUAACCUGCCCUUGACUUUGGGAUAACUUCAGGAAACUGGGGCUAAUACCGGAUAGGAGCUCCUGCUGCAUGGUGGGGGUUGGAAAGUUUCGGCGGUUGGGUAUGGACUCGCGGCUUAUCAGCUUGUUGGUGGGGUAGUGGCUUACCAAGGCUUUGACGGGUAGCCGGCCUGAGAGGGUGACCGGCCACAUUGGGACUGAGAUACGGCCCAGACUCCUACGGGAGGCAGCAGUGGGGAAUAUUGCACAAUGGGCGGAGGCCUGAUGCAGCAACGCCGCGUGCGGGAUGACGGCCUUCGGGUUGUAAACCGCUUUCGCCUGUGACGAAGCGUGAGUGACGGUAAUGGGUAAAGAAGCACCGGCUAACUACGUG
RNAcentral lists this ribosomal RNA (468 nucleotides) under uncultured bacterium. Its description in RNAcentral is "partial 16S ribosomal RNA". It matches the Rfam family "Bacterial small subunit ribosomal RNA", at positions 28 to 507 of the family's 1533-position model. The record is from RNAcentral.